This 439-nucleotide unclassified non-coding RNA is filed under the name Hevea brasiliensis (rubber tree). The record is from RNAcentral. Lineage: Eukaryota; Viridiplantae; Streptophyta; Magnoliopsida; Malpighiales; Euphorbiaceae.
CCCAAAACCCCUUUGUGCUAUAUAUAUAUAUAUAUAUUGCGUCUCAUAUCAUUCAGGCACGCGUCUAGGCCCCAAAACCCCUUUGUGCUCCCUUAAGAACAACGGUGCAUAUACUUUUCUUCUAGGUGGUUAGAUUGUUAAUUGAUAUCUACUUUGAAGAUUGUUAAUUUUUUUCUAUCAAUUUGAUUAAAAAGCCUUACUUUCUAGAAUUUGUAAGAAUAUUAAAGGCAAAUUUAUUUUAUUUAUUUAGCACCUCACCCCUCUCAUACACACGCUUCCACCUAGGUUCCAAACCCUUUUGUUUGUGUAACUAUGACAUUUCCACAAAAAAGACAACCAUGAACUCUUGCUCACACACGCAUGGACACAAAGGUAGUAAAUAGAGCAUUGAAAGGAAUCAAUUCAAUAACUGAAACAAAUUAUUUAUGGAGAAUAAUUG